Molecule: ribosomal RNA, 524 nt
Filed under: uncultured bacterium
Lineage: Bacteria
Description: partial 16S ribosomal RNA
Rfam family: Bacterial small subunit ribosomal RNA
Source: RNAcentral
GACGAACGCUGGCGGCGUGCCUAAUACAUGCAAGUCGAGCGCAGGAAGCCGUCUGAACCCUUCGGGGGGACGACGGUGGAAUGAGCGGCGGACGGGUGAGUAACACGUAAAGAACCUGCCCAUAGGUCUGGGAUAACCACGAGAAAUCGGGGCUAAUACCGGAUGUGUCAUCGGACCGCAUGGUCCGCUGAUGAAAGGCGCUUCGGCGUCGCCCAUGGAUGGCUUUGCGGUGCAUUAGCUAGUUGGUGGGGUAACGGCCCACCAAGGCGACGAUGCAUAGCCGACCUGAGAGGGUGAUCGGCCACACUGGGACUGAGACACGGCCCAGACUCCUACGGGAGGCAGCAGUAGGGAAUCUUCCACAAUGGACGAAAGUCUGAUGGAGCAACGCCGCGUGAACGAUGAAGGCUUUCGGGUCGUAAAGUUCUGUUGUAAGGGAAGAACAAGUGCCGCAGGCAAUGGCGGCACCUUGACGGUACCUUGCGAGAAAGCCACGGCUAACUACGUGCCAGCCGCCGCAGUAA